Girardinichthys multiradiatus is the source of this 750-nucleotide long non-coding RNA. RefSeq lists it as uncharacterized. The record is from RefSeq and is a predicted model, not a curated record. Lineage: Eukaryota; Metazoa; Chordata; Actinopteri; Cyprinodontiformes; Goodeidae. The transcript has 2 exons.
UUGUGUUUGUUUUUUAUUUUCUUGAAUGAAAUAAUUUGUAAAAUCAUUAUUAGAAUUUCAAAUUUUUCAAAUAGUAAGUAUCUAUUACAUGUCUUCCUUUGAGUUGAUUGUUUUCUCAUAAAGUUUACUGAUUGUUUACCCAGAAACAAGUGCUAGUGUUGGGGCUUGGGAGUGUCAUGUUGUGCUCGUCCACCAGAGGUCGUCCUCGAGCCGAAGCUUGCUCCUACUACAGGUGUUCCUGGUCUUAGGCUAAUUGUGGGUGCUUUGGAGGAGUACUUAGGAGCCAGCCGCCAGUCCCUUGACGCCUGAGUGUUUUGCCCAUGUGGUAAUCUCCAGCCCGAGUAACUACCAGUCAUUCUCUGUGUCUAGUUAGUAACCAGUGCCUUGUUUUUCCUGCUUCAUUCCAGUACCUGUGAGGUGUGGGCAGAUUGGUGCUACCUGGACCUUGAUCAAACCUGGACUACCUGCUGAAAGUCUGUGAUUUUGGAUUUCCUGCAAUUUUGGCUGUUGACUUGGCUCCUAAACCUCCAAGGAUUCUGUCCCUGGGAGAACUCGCACCUGGUUUGGAUAUUGUACUGCUGAAUUACCUCCUGGACUACCGGACUCCCAACCUCAUCAGAAGCCCUCCUGGCUCAGUAACAACCUGAGACCAAAGAGUCCUAGAAGCCUGUGUUCCUACCUGUGGUUGCCUUACCAAGGAACCCAUUAACUUAAAUCUGAGCUGUACAAAUAAACCUUUUCUCAACUUUA